RNAcentral lists this long non-coding RNA (7453 nucleotides) under Ananas comosus (pineapple). Its description in RNAcentral is "long non-coding RNA (ACOM_LNC017475)". Lineage: Eukaryota; Viridiplantae; Streptophyta; Magnoliopsida; Poales; Bromeliaceae. The record is from RNAcentral.
UUUUAAUCACAUCGAACCAAACGACCCAUAAUAUAUACCAACAGAGUACAAAUACAUAUAGGAAGCAACAAACCAAACGGCCCCUAAUACCAGCAAAUUACAAAUACAUGUAGCAAGAACCAAACUAAAAGCAGAAAUACAUCUCGUACAGGGCAAGCCAAAACGAGCAUAACACAACUAAAAGGAUUUGGCAUAAAUCGACUCUAAAAUCCUUUUACGUACUCUAAAAGGUUGACCUGAUAGUGAACACUAGUGGAAAAUAGGUUUUAACACAUCACCAAGCAAGACAAAAGCAUAUUAUUUUUGAACGAAACACACAUCACCAUGCAAGACACAAAACACAACGAACAUCAGCUGAAGGAUGGGAAUAGAUGUCUUCCUUUCCUCAGCAUGAAGCAUGCUGCCUUUCUCACGACUUCCUGAUCAUUACAAAAAAUAAAAGUUUAGGGUUUGUUGGGAAGAGUUUCAGGUCAUGUAAAUACGUUUCGAGGGUUGUUUUGUACCUGCUUUUUUUUUUAUUUGUCCUUAGGUUUGUUCUUAUCCGGAGUUUUGUCGUUAUUUGGUUUUUCGUUCUUCAAGUUUGUUGCCUUCUUCCUGUUGCCAAAUUUAUCAGCUUAAUGAAUAAAACAAUAACAUGCUAACUUCCUCUCAAAAAAUAAAAUUACAAAAAUAAAAGCUUGUACGUACUCAGGUUAAUUUGCUCCAAGGAGGGGGAAAAUAGCCUAGAGUACCAAAAAUAAGAAUAUAUAUAUAUAUAUAUAUAUAUAUAUAUAUAUAUAUAUAUAUAUAUAUAUAAAUAGGCUGGAAUACUAUUAAUAGCACCAAUGACUUGGUGCUAUUAAGUUUUCUGCCAUUGGAUUAAAAUAUGUGCGGUUAGGAUGAUAUGAGUNAAAUACCCCCACGUGGUUUCACUUUUUCUCACGUUAGUACCCUGUGAUUUAAAGUGUAUCAAAUUAGUACUCUGUGGUUCUUCUCUUUUUAUUAUCCAUUUCACUAAUUUUUUUCGUUAAAUCAGUAACAAAGUUAAAAUUAAACGGUACUAAAGUGAAUAUUCGAUAAACCUAGGUAUAGUAUCUGAAGUUUUUUGUAUAUUACUUAACGAAAUAUUAACGGAGGAAAAAAAAAAUAGUGACAAAGUUAAAACUAAAGGGUACUAAUGUAAAUAUUCGAUAAAUUUAGGUAGGUUAUUUGAAAUUUUUUGUAUAUAAUUUAACAAAAUAUUAACAGUGGAGCCGGCGAAAAGAGAAAAAUGAAACCACAGAGUACUAAAUUGAUACACUUUACAUGGUACUAACGUGAGAAAGUGCGAAACCACAUGAUACCAAAUUAAUAUACUUCAACCUAUAGGGUACUAAAGUAAAAAGCGCAAAACCACAGGGGCGGUAUUUGAAAUUUUUCAUAUAUAUAUAUAUAUAUAUACAUAUAUAUAUAUAUAUAUAUAUAUAUAUGCACUAUUUUUAGGCCAUUACAGGGUCCUGUUUUGUCAUCAAAUUUUAAAAUGAUCUCCUCUACCUACAAGGCCAUUUAUUUAUUUUAUCAUAAGAAAAUGACUUAGUGGUCAUAUUUUACUGCACCAUUCUCUACCGAAUAAAUUGCACUAUUACCCCCUAAACUUUUGACGAAGUUUUAUUUUACCCUCAAGCUUCUAAAAUAGACAUUUAACACUCUAAACUCUAAUAUUUUAUUCAUGUUACCCUUCCGUCGGUUUACCAUCAAGCUCCGUUAAUCAAAAAUUGACAAAAGGAGUAAUAUGAAUGAAAUAUUAGAGUUUAAGAUGUUAAAUGCCUAUUUUAUAAAUUUGGGGGGUAAAGUGAAACUCCACCAAAAGUUUAGGAGGGUAACAAUAUAAUUUAGCCUAUUUUUUUUUAAAAAAAAUAAACCAUAGCACAAAUUACCCUAUAUUUUAUUGUAUAAAAGAAAAGAAAAAUAAAUUAGGGUGGCUUAAAAAUAAGAAAAGAGAGACACUAACUAGCUAGCUACAAUGUUCGAAUACACUACUCUCCCGAUGUACUUGCUAAUAUAGUUGAUUUUACAAUAAGUAUCUUCACUCGAAUAUAGAAAUUUUAAUUUUUAGUUAAUUCCCUAUAGUACUCAUCAUUUCUCGCCUGUAUCUCUAGAGGCAUUGUUUUAGUGAAUGCACUUACUCUCUAUGAAAUUAUGCAACGUAAUUUUAUUAUAAUCUAAAAUCAAAAUUUUAUAUAUCUUUUUAACCAAUUAGAAAUUUUGAUUAUAAAAAUAUAAUAUUAUUUUAUAAUAAAUUAAAAUUUUUUAAAUAAAAUUAGUGAUAUUAGAUUAAGAGAUGCUGAAUAUCAUCUCAUCCUUCGGAUAUCAAUGGCACACGCUGUGUAGGCGAUCUAAUCCAUUUAUUUUAUUUUUAUUUUUUUAAUAUUUUUCUUGAAACUAUCCUAUUAAUAUAAGCAAAUGUUUUUUUUGUAAAAUUUUUUUUUUCAACAACCAAAUAUUUCUAUUGCCCUCUAAACUUUUAGUAGAGUUCCACUUUACCCGCUGUGUAGAGUUCCACUUUAUAAUAUAUUAGUUUAAAUUCAAACUGAAAAUUAAAUAUUAAAAAUUUACGUCAAAAUUUUAAAAUAAUGUCAAAAUUUAAAUAUAUAUUUUUAAAAAAUUAAAAUUUGAAAUUGAAUGGAUAAUUCAAAAUACAAAACUAAAUUUCAAUUUAUUCAAAUUUAAACUUAAAAUUAUAAUUUAAAUUUCAAUUUGAAGGCAUAAAUUUAAUUUAAAUUUUAGAUAAAAUUUGAAUAAAACUUUAUAUUUUAAUUUAAAUUUAAAUUUAUAAAUUAGAUUCAAAAUGCUUAAUUGAAUUUUAAUUUUUAAUUUAAGUUCAAAUGAAAAAGAAAAUUUAUAAAUAUAAUUUUUAAACUUAAAUUUAUGUUUUAAUUAAAAAAUAAGCUUAAAAAAGUUAAAUUUAAUCCGAAUAAUUCAUUCUGCUCGGAUUCAAUUUUCAAUCUGGCUUUUUAGGUCGAAUUGAGAAAAAGGGUAAAUGGGGGGAUUCCUAUUCACCUAGGAAUCGGAAUGGAAAUCCCGCAUACCAAACACGAACAAACGAUUCGUCCAUUCUGAUUCCGAUUUCAAGGUGAAAAAUGGGCGAACCAAACACGCCCUAAACUCUAAUAUUUCAUUCAUGUUACCCCUUUCAUCAAUUUUCGGCUAACGGAGUUUGACGGAAAACUGGCCAAAUGGGUAAUACGAAUGAAAUAUUAGAGUUUAGAAUAUUAAAUGUCUAUUUUAGAAGUUUGGGAGUAAAGUGAAACUUCGCCAAAAGUUUAGAAGGUAACGCACUACAACAAAAACGGUUUAUAGCGACACUUUUAAAUGUCGGUAUAGGUAAAAAAAAGUGCUGCUAGCUAAAUUACCGACACUUUAAAAAGUGUUGUUAUAUGUGGGGUCGCUAGGUAUAUAGUGACAGUUAAAGAGUGUCGCUAUAACCUAAAAAGAGUGCUGCUAAUUUACCAACACUUAUUUAAGCAUUUAGCAACCGUCGGAACUAUAUCACGUUGGCUGCGGUGGCGGAGGAGGAGAAGAGGGAAAGGCUCUUCGUCUAGAAUUUCAGUGGAUUGAGUGAGGGGAGAAGGGAAGAUGGUAAUCGAAUUUUUUUUUUUUUUUCUUUUCUGUUUGUAAUCGGGCUGAAUGGGCUGGGUGAGGUGGGUUGAGUAGAAUAAUAUUUUAUUUUUUGUUGGAUUGGGUUUUAUAUUUAGGCAUUAAUAGAUUUUUUUUAAGUUUUGGCAUAAAUGGACACUUACACAAAAAUGUUUCGAACAUGUGUUUCUAUAACCUAAUUUUGUUGUAGUGACGGUACAAUUUACUCCUAUAUAUGAUCGAAUUAUUCUCCUUAUAAAUCAAUUGCCACAUGACUUCUAAUAAACAAAAGAGAGAUAUACUAAACAAGAUAUUCACAUAUUCAAACUUAUUCAGUAUAUCACUUUUGCACUCAAGGACUCACAACAAUUUGUAAAUAAAGAGUAGAUCAUUAAUUACCUACAAGAGCACAGUGUAUACGUACCGUUCUUCAGACGAAUCCGGUUUGUUGUCACCUUGAGCUUGGUUUUCAGAACGGGGAGUGGAUGAAUUGGCGGGAUGAAGCUUCGAAGAAGUGGUUGGAGUUGUGCGUGAGGUUGAGUUGGCUACAGUCAUGGAUGAUGAGGCCAGGGUUGAUAGAGUGGACAAGCAUGCGGUAGAUGAGGAAGAGACAAGCAAGGAAGCGACGGCAGCGGACGAGGAUGUCACUUCAGCUGGAUGAAAGCAGAAAUCUCAACUAAAUCAGUAAUAAAGUCUCCAGAAAUCCUACUAAAAUUUCUUAAGAGAAGUUUUUUAUUUUUAUUUUGAAGAAUUGGAAGGUAUGUUUGAUGUUGAGGAUUCAAGCAGUAAUAGGUAAAAGAGAACCAUUGCCACCGCAAAUAUUAUCACUACAACAAUUUAUAUAUAAAUUGAAUCGCGAGUUUUACUGUGGCCGACGUGGCCGCUUCUCCGCACUCGCGAGGAAGAGAGGAAGAGAGAAAGGGAAAAGAGAGAGANUUGUAACGACCCAGCCAACUAGCAAUAAUAACUUGUUGGGCCCAACCACAGCCCAAAAUGCUUAAGCCUAGUUAUUAUUACUAGUGUCUAAGUCACUUAUAAACCCAAUGACAACCCCAUUCCCAUCCGAUGUGGGACUAUUGGGGUGUCACAGACUCCCCCUGUUAAGGCCCUGACGUCCUCGUCAGUCCAAUCACACACACAGCCCAAGAUUACCAGGCGAUGUGAGACUCGUCUCGCUAGCCCGUCAGCCAGACCCUGGCUCAGCCGAGACUCGCCACACAUGUCCAGCUGGUGAACCGGCUCUGAUACCAAAUGUAACGACCCAGCCAACUAGCAAUAAUAACUUGUUGGGCCCAACCACAGCCCAAAAUGCUUAAGCCUAGUUAUUAUUAUUAGUGUCUAAGUCAUUUAUAAACCCAAUGACAACUCCAUUCCCAUCCGAUGUGGGACUAUUGGGGUGUCACAUGGAUUGAAUUGUUUUGCACCAUUCAAAGCACCAUUUAUUCUUCUGUAGCCACAACUGAAUCAUAAUGUGUAGGAAUAAUGAUUUAAGUUUGAGAGAUUUUAAGAACAGUACAAAAUUUUCAAAUAUCACACUAUGAGGUUAAUAUUCCACGUAUUAAUUUUUUUUUUUUUUUUGAGAGACGCUACCCACUUCGUUUAUUUCAUUUAGAAAUAAACUUAGCUAGAAAUGUGAAUCAACUAGGAUUCGAACUUGGAUCUCGGGUACCAACCACCAAACCCUUUGCUGCUUGCUCUAGGGACGGUCGGUAUGCUUGCUAUGGUCUUUGAAACAUAAUUUUGGGUCAUCAAUGUGUUUUAGUUAGUGUGUGCAUGUGGGCAUUUAGCAAGUACUCAGUAGUGUUAUAUCAAGAAAAUGAAAAAUUACUCAAAACAAGUGUUGAGUUUUCGUAGGCUAUCUUUAACUUGGUUUUGCAGGCCUAUCAUGUUCGAUAUUUAAUCUAUACUGACACAAAAGUUUUUGUCAUGUUAGCUUCAAUUGGAGGGUAUUAACAUUUAACAAGAUUACUGUGCAUUGCAUGUAACCUUUAAUCAAAACUGACCUUUGAAUCACAUGGUUUAUCUACUUCGCGCGUGUUUCGAAUGUUGUGGUACUUUUAUUAAUCCCCAUAUGAGUCAUCCACGUGGCAAGUUUUUCUUACCUUAUAGCGUGGGACCUGCCUGUCAGCAUUACGUACUUUUUUUUUAUUGAAAUAUGUAUAUAUAUACAAACAGGAAGGGGGAAAAAUAGAACAAUUCAACAACAUUAUUCUACUUACUAAACUCGACCGGAAAAAAAUAGCCCAAAAAAAAGGGCAAUAUAUAGAAAAGUAUAAAUAAGGAAGCUAAUUAACAAGGUAAAAAUUAUCACCUCAUGUCCUUGAUAUGUGAAGAUUAUGAUCAGAGAUGAUCAAGGUUGAGCUCGAGUAACUUUCCUCAAGAGCACUUUCAUAAGCAGCAGUCAUUCCAAUAUCUUCUUCCAUAAAAGCACUUGUAUAUUUUGAAAGCUUUACAAUUCUGCUUUUACAUCUAAUGUGAAAUAUGAUCAUCCUCGAUGCAUUUUCUCUUCACAGUACACAUGCAAGAAUUAUAAUUAUUAUCUUCAAACGUAGAAGUAGUAUUUCAGCGUUCAUAUGCAUUAUGUUUGGUUAAUGCUGACUUCUUAUUGCCAUGCUUCCUUGCUACCAUUUUCUAUAUGCAAUCUCACGCGCGCUCUUUUGCGCUGCUCAUACUCGAGAGAGAGAGAAAUCUCUAGAGCUAUUUGGGUAAUAAACGAUCUUAGCAUUUCUGGCGCUUCCUCGGUUAUCCUGGUAAUACUCCCGAAUACAAUUAAACCGUUGAUUGUUGUUUGGUACAAUUUCUGUCAAAAAAAAAAAAUAAGUGUGUGAGAGAGAGAAAGCUUGUUAGAGAUAGAGAGAGAGAGAGAGAGAGAGAGCCCAACAAGGGAUAGUGAGGUGCUCUUCGUUCAAGAUUUUUCUUUCUGUUGUAACGAUAUCGGAAGUUCCUUCGUAAAGGUUGUCUGUGUAUCAAUGGUUCGUUUCAUUCAAAUAAUUAAAAAUAAGAAUAUACUGAUCCUAAUUUGUAGAUAUAAAUUAAGUAGAUAACACUACAAGGAAAUGGAGCUCUACCGACGUUUUUUUAGGGAUGCUUCGUUUGAGCGUCGGCAAAUCCCAAUUUAUCUCCUAAAUUAUCGAUGCUUAGGGUAAGCGUCGACGAAAUAAAAUUUUAGGCGCUGAAAUAAUUAAGUGCCCGCGAAACGCUACGCCCGCGAAACGCCCGCAUAGCGCGAAAACAUAGCGCCAAAAGUGAUAAAAAAAAAAAACCCUAAGCCUCAUAUUAGUUCUAUUUUCACAUUUCCUCUGUCACUACAUGCCUUUUUCCAUUCCCACCUUCCUUCACAGGUGAAGAAGAAGGUGAUCUCCCGCAUCCAUCGCUGCGCCCUCUCCCGCCUCUGCCGCCGCUCCCACUUCUCCGCCCAAUCCCACCGCCAAUUCGUCUAGGGCGCCCAGCUCCUCGCCCGCGCCCGCUCCUUCUCCAUUUCCUCCGCCUCCACCUCCACCUCCGCCCUCGCCCACUCCGCCAUCGCAGAGGCCGCUGCUGCCCUCGACGCUUGCGAUGCCGCGCCCCACAUCUUGAAGGCCCUCGCCCUCGACCUCUUCGGCCACCGCCUCCCCUUGCUCCGAUCUCUCGACGCCGCCCUCUCCCACCAGCCACCAAAUCCCUUUCCCCCAACGAGUGUGGCAACGCCCUCUUCAAGUGCGCCUGGAUCCAGCUCGCCCUCAACCACCAACGCUGCCUCGACGCAGCCCUCGCCGACCUCCUCGACACCGCGCGCAGGGCUUAUGGAUGGAAUGAGAAACUUGAAUGAGCUUCUGGAGCUGGAUGCAGAAGCUCUGAUAUGAAGUUUAGCUUCAGCAGG